UGAUAAUUUUAUUCUAAUAUAUGUAGUUCUGUAAAAUUUACCUUUUUUUUAAGGAAAUCGCACGUUCGGUUUGACCUUCGACUUCCGACCGCCGGCGAUGGCGGCGACGGUGCGGUUCGGCCUCCUGAUGGCGAUGUUCCAGGCCAUGUCGCGUGACAAAGGGGGGGGGGGGGGUGGUGGUGGAGAAGAAGCGCGGCCGCCUCCGCGUGUUCCUCGACCGAGCCUACCGGUCCAGCGGCGGGGACGAUUAAUUCAGCGCGCUCCGUUUCGUCCUCCCGGGGCUCGACCGCGAGCGCGGCUCCUACGGGCUCAAGGAGGCAGCCCUCACCGCCGCGCUCGUCGAAGCCCUCAGCAUCGCCAAGGAGUCCCCCGACGCCGUCCGGCUCACCAACUGGCGCCGUAGCGGGGGUGGCCGCAACGCCGGUAACUUCGCGCUCGUCGCCGCUGAGGUUCUGCAACGGAGCAAGGUAUGACUUCUGGUGGAUUGACGAUGAAGGAGAUCAAUGAUGCACUUGAUCGUCUAGCUGCAACCGAGAACAGGUCUGAGAAGGCCUCAAUACUUUCUAGUCUGAUCAAGAAAACCAAUGCCCUUGAAAUGAAGUGGCUUCUGAUGAGAUAGCUUGCCAAUUGCUGCUUUGUGCACUUUUGUAUAUUUUCUGCUGCAUUUCUGCAGUAUUUUUGGUUGCUUUUGAUGCUUGGCAUACUUCAUCAUAGAUUUGAAACUGGGGAUCAGUGAAAGAGCAUAUUCCAUGAGUUUCA
This is a long non-coding RNA of Phragmites australis (common reed), 759 nucleotides long. RefSeq lists it as uncharacterized. The transcript has 3 exons. Lineage: Eukaryota; Viridiplantae; Streptophyta; Magnoliopsida; Poales; Poaceae. The record is from RefSeq and is a predicted model, not a curated record.